UUUCCGUAGGUGAACCUGCGGAAGGAUCAUUAAUGAGUUGUCAUGGGGUUCGAUGCUGGCAGCCAAUUUUUGGAUGCAUGUGCUUGCCCUAACAAUCAUCUUCCAAACACCUGUGCACAUUUUCGAGGGAGUCUUGAGUUGGUUGCCGCUCUUGGGUGAUUUUCUCACAUUCCCUUAAAUCAUUAUACGCUAUUAACAAUGUUGAACGUGCUCUGUGCCGCAAGGCUAUUAAUAUAAUACAACUUUUAACAACGGAUCUCUUGGCUCUC
This 269-nucleotide unclassified non-coding RNA is filed under the name plant metagenome. Its description in RNAcentral is "partial contains small subunit ribosomal RNA, internal transcribed spacer 1, and 5.8S ribosomal RNA". The record is from RNAcentral.